RNAcentral lists this ribosomal RNA (587 nucleotides) under uncultured bacterium. RNAcentral describes it as "partial 16S ribosomal RNA". It matches the Rfam family "Bacterial small subunit ribosomal RNA", at positions 355 to 1375 of the family's 1533-position model. The record is from RNAcentral.
UGGGGAAUUUUGGACAAUGGGCGAAAGCCUGAUCCAGCAAUGCCGCGUGUGUGAAGAAGGCCUUCGGGUUGUAAAGCACUUUUGUCCGGAAAGAAAUCCUUGGCUCUAAUACAGUCGGGGGAUGACGGUACCGGAAGAAUAAGCACCGGCUAACUACGUGCCAGCAGCCGCGGUAAUACGUAGGGUGCAAGCGUUAAUCGGAAUUACUGGGCGUAAAGCGUGCGCAGGCGGCUUGCUAAGACCGAUGUGAAAUCCCCGGGCUCAACCUGGGAACUGCAUUGGUGACUGGCAGGCUAGAGUAUGGCAGAGGGGGGUAGAAUUCCACGUGUAGCAGUGAAAUGCGUAGAGAUGUGGAGGAAUACCGAUGGCGAAGGCAGCCCCCUGGGCCAAUACUGACGCUCAUGCACGAAAGCGUGGGGGAGCAAACAGGAUUAGAUACCCUGGUAGUCCACGCCCUAAACGAUGUCAACUAGUUGUUGGGGAUUCAUUUCCUUAGUAACGUAGCUAACGCGUGAAGUUGACCGCCUGGGGGAGUACGGUCGCAAGAUUAAAACUUAAAUGAAUUGACGGGGUCAUAGCUGUUUCCU